GGAGGAAAAGAAACCAACAGGGAUUGCCUCAGUAGCGGCGAGUGAAGCGGCAAGAGCUCAGAUUUGAAAUCUCACCUAGUGUGCGAGUUGUAAAUUGCAGGUUGGAGUCUCGGGUUAGACGUGUGUGCAAGUCCCUUGGAACAGGGUGCCACUGAGGGUGAGAGCCCCGUAUCGUGCAUGUCGACACCUGUGAGGCCCUUCUGACGAGUCGAGUUGUUUGGGAAUGCAGCUCUAAGUGGGUGGUAAAUUCCAUCUAAGGCUAAAUAUUGGCGAGAGACCGAUAGCGAACAAGUACUGUGAAGGAAAGAUGAAAAGCACUUUGAAAAGAGAGUGAAACAGCACGUGAAAUUGUUGAAAGGGAAGGGUAUUGGGCUCGACAUGGGAUUUACGCAUCGUUGCCUCUCGUGGGCGGCGCUCUGGGUUUUUCCUGGGCCAGCAUCGGUUUUCGUUGCAGGAUAAGGACAAUUGGAAUGUGGCUCCUCGGAGUGUUAUAGCCUUUUGUAGAUGCUGCGUAUGGGGACCGAGGGCUGCGGCGGACUCGUUUCGUCUCGGAUGCUGGCACAACGGCGCAAUACCGCCCGUCUU
Molecule: ribosomal RNA, 585 nt
Filed under: Pichia kluyveri
Lineage: Eukaryota; Fungi; Ascomycota; Pichiomycetes; Pichiales; Pichiaceae
Description: eukaryotic LSU rRNA
Rfam family: Eukaryotic large subunit ribosomal RNA
Source: RNAcentral